UACGUAGGGUGCGAGCGUUGUCCGGAAUUAUUGGGCGUAAAGGGCUCGUAGGCGGUUUGUCGCGUCGGGAGUGAAAUCCACUGGCUUAACUGGUGGCUUGCUUUCGAUACGGGCAGACUGGAGGUAUGCAGGGGGAGAACGGAAUUCCUGGUGUAGCGGUGGAAUGCGCAGAUAUCAGGAGGAACACCGGUGGCGAAGGCGGGUCUCUGGGCAGUAACUGACGCUGAGGAGCGAAAGCGUGGGGAGCGAACAGG
Molecule: ribosomal RNA, 254 nt
Filed under: uncultured bacterium
Lineage: Bacteria
Description: partial 16S ribosomal RNA
Rfam family: Bacterial small subunit ribosomal RNA
Source: RNAcentral